This 429-nucleotide ribosomal RNA is filed under the name uncultured bacterium. RNAcentral describes it as "bacterial SSU rRNA". It matches the Rfam family "Bacterial small subunit ribosomal RNA", at positions 355 to 775 of the family's 1533-position model. The record is from RNAcentral.
UGAGGAAUUUUGCGCAAUGGGCGAAAGCCUGACGCAGCGACGCCGCGUGGGCGAUGAAGCUUCUUGGAGUGUAAAGCCCUGUCAGGUGGGACGAAUCCGGAGGGUGCAAAUAGUGCCUUUCGCUGACGGUACCACCAGAGGAAGCCCCGGCUAACUCCGUGCCAGCAGCCGCGGUAAUACGGAGGGGGCGAGCGUUGUUCGGAAUCACUGGGUGUAAAGGGUGCGUAGGCGGUGCGUUAAGUCUGAUGUGAAAGCCCUGGGCUCAACUCAGGAAUUGCAUUGGAAACUGGCGUGCUGGAGUACGGGAGAGGGAAGCGGAAUUCCUGGUGUAGCGGUGAAAUGCGUAGAUACCAGGAGGAACACCGGUGGCGAAGGCGGUUUCCUGGCCCAGUACUGACGCUGAGGCACGAAAGCGUGGGGAGCGAACGG